UGGGGAAUAUUGCACAAUGGGCGCAAGCCUGAUGCAGCCAUGCCGCGUGUGUGAAGAAGGCCUUCGGGUUGUAAAGCACUUUCAGCGAGGAGGAAGGGUAGUGUGUUAAUAGCACAUUGCAUUGACGUUACUCGCAGAAGAAGCACCGGCUAACUCCGUGCCAGCAGCCGCGGUAAUACGGAGGGUGCAAGCGUUAAUCGGAAUUACUGGGCGUAAAGCGCACGCAGGGGGUUUGUUAAGUCAGAUGUGAAAUCCCCGCGCUUAACGUGGGAACUGCAUUUGAAACUGGCAAGCUAGAGUCUUGUAGAGGGGGGUAGAAUUCCAGGUGUAGCGGUGAAAUGCGUAGAGAUCUGGAGGAAUACCGGUGGCGAAGGCGGCCCCCUGGACAAACACUGACGCUCAGGUGCGAAAGCGUGGGGAGCAAACA
Molecule: ribosomal RNA, 427 nt
Filed under: uncultured bacterium
Lineage: Bacteria
Description: partial 16S ribosomal RNA
Rfam family: Bacterial small subunit ribosomal RNA
Source: RNAcentral